Molecule: ribosomal RNA, 468 nt
Filed under: uncultured bacterium
Lineage: Bacteria
Description: partial 16S ribosomal RNA
Rfam family: Bacterial small subunit ribosomal RNA
Source: RNAcentral
GACGAACGCUGGCGGCGUGCUUAACACAUGCAAGUCGAACGGAAAGGCCCUGCUUUUGUGGGGUGCUCGAGUGGCGAACGGGUGAGUAACACGUGAGUAACCUGCCCUUGACUUUGGGAUAACUUCAGGAAACUGGGGCUAAUACCGGAUAGGAGCUCCUGCUGCAUGGUGGGGGUUGGAAAGUUUCGGCGGUUGGGGAUGGACUCGCGGCUUAUCAGCUUGUUGGUGGGGUAGUGGCUUACCAAGGCUUUGACGGGUAGCCGGCCUGAGAGGGUGACCGGCAACAAUGGGACUGAGAGACGGAGCAGAAGGCUACGGGAGGCAGCAGUGGGGAAUAGUGCACAAUGGGCGGAAGCCUGAUGCAGCAACGCCGCGUGCGGGAUGACGGCCUUCGGGUUGUAAACAGCGUUCGCCUGUGACGAAGCGUGAGUGACGGUAAUGGGUAAAGAAGCACCGGCUAACUACGUG